Long non-coding RNA from Octopus sinensis (East Asian common octopus), 93 nucleotides. RefSeq lists it as uncharacterized. The transcript is spliced from 4 exons. The record is from RefSeq and is a predicted model, not a curated record. NCBI's taxonomy places the organism in Eukaryota, Metazoa, Mollusca, Cephalopoda, Octopoda, Octopodidae.
CUGUUAUUGUUUGCCAUUGUAGCGGUGGGUACGUUCACUGUGAAAAAAUUAGAGUGCUCAGAGCGAGCCCCACCGGCUUGCAUACGAAAAGCA